Molecule: ribosomal RNA, 403 nt
Filed under: bacterium
Lineage: Bacteria
Description: partial 16S ribosomal RNA
Rfam family: Bacterial small subunit ribosomal RNA
Source: RNAcentral
UGGGGAAUAUUGCACAAUGGGGGAAACCCUAAUGCAGCGACGCCGCGUGAACGAAGAAGGUAUUCGUAUCGUAAAGUUCUGUCCUAUGGGAAGAUAAUGACAGUACCAUAGAAGAAAGCUCCGGCUAAAUACGUGCCAGCAGCCGCGGUAAUACGUAUGGAGCGAGCGUUGUCCGGAAUUAUUGGGCGUAAAGGGUACGCAGGCGGUUUAAUAAGUCGAAUGUUAAAGAUCGGGGCUCAACCCCGCAAAGCAUUGGAAACUGAUAAACUUGAGUAGUGGAGAGGAAAGUGGAAUUCCUAGUGUAGUGGUGAAAUACGUAGAUAUUAGGAGGAAUACCAGUAGCGAAGGCGACUUUCUGGACACAAACUGACGCUGAGGUACGAAAGCGUGGGGAGCAAACAGG